UGGGGAAUUUUGGACAAUGGGCGAAAGCCUGAUCCAGCAAUGCCGCGUGUGUGAAGAAGGCCUUCGGGUUGUAAAGCACUUUUGUCCGGAAAGAAAUCCUUGGCUCUAAUACAGUCGGGGGAUGACGGUACCGGAAGAAUAAGCACCGGCUAACUACGUGCCAGCAGCCGCGGUAAUACGUAGGGUGCAAGCGUUAAUCGGAAUUACUGGGCGUAAAGCGUGCGCAGGCGGUUUGCUAAGACCGAUGUGAAAUCCCCGGGCUCAACCUGGGAACUGCAUUGGUGACUGGCAGGCUAGAGUAUGGCAGAGGGGGGUAGAAUUCCACGUGUAGCAGUGAAAUGCGUAGAGAUGUGGAGGAAUACCGAUGGCGAAGGCAGCCCCCUGGGCCAAUACUGACGCUCAUGCACGAAAGCGUGGGGAGCAAACAGGAUUAGAUACCCUGGUAGUCCACGCCCUAAACGAUGUCAACUAGUUGUUGGGGACUUCAUUUCCUUAGUAACGUAGCUAACGCGUGAAGUUGACCGCCUGGGGAGUACGGUCGCAAGAUUAAAACUCAAGGAAUUGACGGGGUCAUAGCUGUUUCCU
Molecule: ribosomal RNA, 585 nt
Filed under: uncultured bacterium
Lineage: Bacteria
Description: partial 16S ribosomal RNA
Rfam family: Bacterial small subunit ribosomal RNA
Source: RNAcentral